This 465-nucleotide ribosomal RNA is filed under the name Vreelandella stevensii. Its description in RNAcentral is "partial 16S ribosomal RNA". It matches the Rfam family "Bacterial small subunit ribosomal RNA", at positions 338 to 795 of the family's 1533-position model. The record is from RNAcentral. Lineage: Bacteria; Pseudomonadati; Pseudomonadota; Gammaproteobacteria; Oceanospirillales; Halomonadaceae.
CCUACGGGUGGCAGCAGUGGGGAAUAUUGGACAAUGGGGGCAACCCUGAUCCAGCCAUGCCGCGUGUGUGAAGAAGGCCCUCGGGUUGUAAAGCACUUUCAGUGAGGAAGAACGCCUGGUGGUUAAUACCCAUCAGGAAAGACAUCACUCACAGAAGAAGCACCGGCUAACUCCGUGCCAGCAGCCGCGGUAAUACGGAGGGUGCGAGCGUUAAUCGGAAUUACUGGGCGUAAAGCGCGCGUAGGUGGCUUGAUAAGCCGGUUGUGAAAGCCCCGGGCUCAACCUGGGAACGGCAUCCGGAACUGUCAAGCUAGAGUGCAGGAGAGGAAGGUAGAAUUCCCGGUGUAGCGGUGAAAUGCGUAGAGAUCGGGAGGAAUACCAGUGGCGAAGGCGGCCUUAUGGACUGACACUGACACUGAGGUGCGAAAGCGUGGGUAGCAAACAGGAUUAGAUACCCUAGUAGUC